UAGGGAAUCUUCCGCAAUGGACGCAAGUCUGACGGAGCAACGCCGCGUGAGUGAAGAAGGAUUUCGGUUCGUAAAACUCUGUUGUUAGAGAAGAACAGCGCAUAGAGUAACUGAUAUGCGUGUGACGGUAUCUAACCAGAAAGCCACGGCUAACUACGUGCCAGCAGCCGCGGUAAUACGUAGGUGGCAAGCGUUGUCCGGAUUUAUUGGGCGUAAAGCGAGCGCAGGCGGUCGAUUAAGUCUGAUGUGAAAGCCCCCGGCUCAACCGGGGAGGGUCAUAGGAAACUGGUUGGCUUGAGUGAAGAGGAGGGGGGAGGAAUUCCGGGAGUAGCGGUAAAAUGCGUAAUUAUAUGGAGGAACACCAGUGGCGAAGGCGACUCUCUGGUCUGUAACUGACGAUGAGGCUCGAAAGCGUGAGUAGAAAGCAGG
RNAcentral lists this ribosomal RNA (429 nucleotides) under Bacteroidota bacterium. Its description in RNAcentral is "Bacteroidetes bacterium partial 16S ribosomal RNA". It matches the Rfam family "Bacterial small subunit ribosomal RNA", at positions 355 to 776 of the family's 1533-position model. Lineage: Bacteria; Pseudomonadati; Bacteroidota. The record is from RNAcentral.